GACGAACGCUGGCGGCGUGCUUAACACAUGCAAGUCGAACGGAAAGGCCCUGCUUUUGUGGGGUGCUCGAGUGGCGAACGGGUGAGUAACACGUGAGUAACCUGCCCUUGACUGUGGGAUAACUUCAGGAAACUGGGGCUAAUACCGGAUAGGAGCUCCUGCUGCAUGGUGGGGGUUGGAAAGUUUCGGCGGUUGGGGAUGGACUCGCGGCUUAUCAGCUUGUUGGUGGGGUAGUGGCUUACCAAGGCUUUGACGGGUAGCCGGCCUGGGAGGGUGGCCGGGCACAUGGGGACUACGGGAGGGACCAGACUCCUACGGGGGGCAGCGGGGGGAAAUAUGACACAAUGGGGGGGAGCCUGAUACGAAGACCCCGGGAGCGGGAAGACCGCCUAGGGGUUAGGAACCGCUUUAGCCUGAGACGGAGCGGGAGUGACGGUAAUGGGUAAAGAAGCACCGGCUAACUACGUG
RNAcentral lists this ribosomal RNA (468 nucleotides) under uncultured bacterium. Its description in RNAcentral is "partial 16S ribosomal RNA". It matches the Rfam family "Bacterial small subunit ribosomal RNA", at positions 28 to 507 of the family's 1533-position model. The record is from RNAcentral.